This 429-nucleotide ribosomal RNA is filed under the name Gemmatimonadota bacterium. RNAcentral's name for it is "Gemmatimonadetes bacterium partial 16S ribosomal RNA". It matches the Rfam family "Bacterial small subunit ribosomal RNA", at positions 355 to 776 of the family's 1533-position model. Lineage: Bacteria; Pseudomonadati; Gemmatimonadota. The record is from RNAcentral.
UAGGGAAUCUUCGGCAAUGGACGAAAGUCUGACCGAGCAACGCCGCGUGAGUGAAGAAGGUUUUCGGAUCGUAAAACUCUGUUGUUAGAGAAGAACAAGGACGUUAGUAACUGAACGUCCCCUGACGGUAUCUAACCAGAAAGCCACGGCUAACUACGUGCCAGCAGCCGCGGUAAUACGUAGGUGGCAAGCGUUGUCCGGAUUUAUUGGGCGUAAAGCGAGCGCAGGCGGUUUCUUCAGUCUGAUGUGAAAGCCCCCGGCUCAACCGGGGAGGGUCAUUGGAAACUGGGAGACUUGAGUGCAGAAGAGGAGGGUGGAAUUCCAUGUGUAGCGGUGAAAUGCGUAGAUAUAUGGAGGAACACCAGUGGCGAAGGCGGCUCUCUGGUCUGUAACUGACGCUGAGGCUAGAAAGCGUGGGGAGCAAACAGG